Molecule: ribosomal RNA, 330 nt
Filed under: uncultured bacterium
Lineage: Bacteria
Description: partial 16S ribosomal RNA
Rfam family: Bacterial small subunit ribosomal RNA
Source: RNAcentral
GGACGAACCGCGUGGCGGCGUGCCUAACACAUGCAAGUCGAACGGGGCGUCUUUGGGAUACGGAGACUUCGGUCAAGUGAAUCUGAGCUUAGUGGCGGACGGGUGAGUAACGCGUGAGCAACCUGCCUUUCAGAGGGGGACAACAGUUGGAAACGACUGCUAAUACCGCAUAAUGUGUUUUGGGGGCAUCCCUGAAACACCAAAGAUUUAUCGCUGAAAGAUGGGCUCGCGUCUGAUUAGCUAGUUGGUGGGGUAACGGCCUACCAAGGCGACGAUCAGUAGCCGGACUGAGAGGUUGAACGGCCACAUUGGGACUGAGAUACGGCCCAG